AUUGAACGCUGGCGGCAUGCCUUACACAUGCAAGUCGAACGGUAACAGGUCUUCGGAUGCUGACGAGUGGCGAACGGGUGAGUAAUACAUCGGAACGUGCCCGAUCGUGGGGGAUAACGAGGCGAAAGCUUUGCUAAUACCGCAUACGAUCUACGGAUGAAAGCGGGGGAUCUUCGGACCUCGCGCGGACGGAGCGGCCGAUGGCAGAUUAGGUAGUUGGUGGGAUAAAAGCUUACCAAGCCGACGAUCUGUAGCUGGUCUGAGAGGAUGAUCAGCCACACUGGGACUGAGACACGGCCCAGACUCCUACGGGAGGCAGCAGUGGGGAAUUUUGGACAAUGGGCGAAAGCCUGAUCCAGCCAUGCCGCGUGCAGGGUGAAGGCCUUCGGGUUGUAAACUGCUUUUGUACGGAACGAAAAGCCUCUUUCUAAUAAAGAGGGGUCAUGACGGUACCGUAAGAAUAAGCACCGGCUAACUACGUG
RNAcentral lists this ribosomal RNA (482 nucleotides) under uncultured bacterium. Its description in RNAcentral is "partial 16S ribosomal RNA". It matches the Rfam family "Bacterial small subunit ribosomal RNA", at positions 30 to 507 of the family's 1533-position model. The record is from RNAcentral.